ACCUGAUGGUGUGGGCAUUUACAAAGUAGUUCUCGGAAAUGCUCCCAAGUCUCAAAGAAAAGUUCCCUAUCCGUUUGUGUGAAACUUGUGAUUUCCCUUCGCAGUU
Molecule: small nucleolar RNA, 106 nt
Organism: Malania oleifera
Lineage: Eukaryota; Viridiplantae; Streptophyta; Magnoliopsida; Santalales; Ximeniaceae
Source: RefSeq, a predicted model, not a curated record